This 263-nucleotide long non-coding RNA is filed under the name Homo sapiens (human). RNAcentral's name for it is "HSALNT0401326". The record is from RNAcentral. Lineage: Eukaryota; Metazoa; Chordata; Mammalia; Primates; Hominidae.
AGAACUCCUCUGGUGCUGGGAGUGAGGAGUUUCAAGGUGACUGCUUUUUAGCUCCAGGGGAGAAAGGAGGGCACAGUGCCCAAGGCCAUGCCAGGGCAAGGACGGGCCACUGGCCCCCGCCGGCCGGUAGAGUCAACCAGAGGCAAAGCCAGAUUGAGGGUUCCCAGGCUGACAAAUGUCUGCUGCCUCUGCCACAGGAGAGAGAAGGGGAAAGAGGGCAAAAGAAACAAAGACAUCACGCGUUGCAAGUGGCUGGACUUUUA